UACGUAGGGGGCGAGCGUUGUCCGGAUUUAUUGGGCGUAAAGAGCGUGUAGGCGGCCAGGUAGGUCUGCUGUGAAAACUCGAGGCUCAACCUCGAGACGUCGGCGGAAACCAUCUGGCUAGAGUCCGGAAGAGGAGAGUGGAAUUCCUGGUGUAGCGGUGGAAUGCGCAGAUAUCAGGAAGAACACCCGUGGCGAAGGCGGCUCUCUGGGACGGUACUGACGCUGAGACGCGAAAGCGUGGGGAGCGAACAGG
RNAcentral lists this ribosomal RNA (253 nucleotides) under uncultured bacterium. RNAcentral's name for it is "partial 16S ribosomal RNA". It matches the Rfam family "Bacterial small subunit ribosomal RNA", at positions 524 to 776 of the family's 1533-position model. The record is from RNAcentral.